This 279-nucleotide ribosomal RNA is filed under the name uncultured bacterium. Its description in RNAcentral is "partial 16S ribosomal RNA". It matches the Rfam family "Bacterial small subunit ribosomal RNA", at positions 506 to 784 of the family's 1533-position model. The record is from RNAcentral.
UGCCAGCCGCCGCGGUAACACGAACUGCGCGAACGUUAUUCGGAAUCACUGGGCUUAAAGGGUGCGCAGGCGGCUUUUUAAGACAGGUGUGAAAUCCCCGGGCUUAACCUGGGAAUGGCGCUUGUGACUGGAAGGCUAGAGUGCGGCAGAGGGGGAUGGAAUUCCUGGUGUAGCAGUGAAAUGCGUAGAUAUCAGGAGGAACACCGAUGGCGAAGGCAGUCCCCUGGGUCGACACUGACGCUCAGGCACGAAAGCGUGGGGAGCAAACAGGAUUAGAUA